UGAGGAAUUUUGCGCAAUGGGAGCAACCCUGACGCAGCAAUACCGCGUGAGUGAAGAAGGUUUUCGGAUCGUAAAACUCUUUUAUUGGGGAAGAAGAAGUGACGGUACCCAAUGAAGAAGUCCCGGCUAACUACGUGCCAGCAGCCGCGGUAAUACGUAGGGGACAAGCGUUGUCCGGAAUCACUGGGCGUAAAGGGCGCGUAGGCGGUUUUAUAAGUCAGAUGUGAAAGGUACCGGCUCAACCGGUGACGUGCAUUUGAAACUGUAAGACUUGAGUACUGGAGAGGCAAGUGGAAUUCCUAGUGUAGCGGUGAAAUGCGUAGAUAUUAGGAGGAACACCGGUGGCGAAGGCGGCUUGCUGGACAUAUACUGACGCUGAGGUGCGAAAGCGUGGGGAGCGAACA
This 404-nucleotide ribosomal RNA is filed under the name uncultured prokaryote. RNAcentral's name for it is "bacterial SSU rRNA". It matches the Rfam family "Bacterial small subunit ribosomal RNA", at positions 355 to 774 of the family's 1533-position model. The record is from RNAcentral.